AGAAACCUGAGCUUGACGUGGGCGAGACCAGCCUGGAGACGGGAACUUGCCGUUCCUCUCAGCUGCGCCAACGGCACACCACCUCCCAGAAGCGGCUUCCUGUACUUGCCUUUUUGUCUGACAGCUCAGAAAGAAACACAACUUGUUUGGGAAGAGUGAAAGAAGGCUGUUUUCUUGACUGUCUUUUACUCCCUGACAUUCUCUGCCCUUGAAAAAGCUGUCACAACAAAGUGGUGUUGGAUUGAAGCUCCCGAUUUUUGGAAUGUUUUCCGGGGAUCCUCGCCCCUGGCACCGUCUACUGAAGCCCUCGUCAUCCUAUUGUAAGAAUCUCAAUUUGAAAACAGACUGAAUGUAAUUUCUAACUCUGGCUCUGCCACUAACUGGCUGGGGGAACCCCAGCAAGGUACUUGACCUCUUUGACCCUAAGUUUCCCAUCUGGUGGGGUCCACCAGACCAUGGCUUCCCGAAGGUCCCUGCGCUGCGUAUACACAGUAAAUGCUCAGAGGUGGGUGUAAUCCAUUAGUCAUGCAGUAUCAUCUCAACUUGGGACUUCCCUGGCAGUCCAGUGGUCAAGACUGCGUGCAUCCUCUGCAGAGGGCAUGGGUUCAAUCCCUGGUCAGGGAACUAUGAUCCCACAUGCUGCAUGCUGAGGCCAGAAAAUAAAACAAACUUGAAGAAGUUAGACUAGACCUCGAGGAAAUCAACUUGUAAUGAUGGGCAUGGAAGGCAGGUAAGGUAAAAGUGUGAAAGUGUUUGUCGCUCA
Molecule: long non-coding RNA, 763 nt
Organism: Bos taurus (domestic cattle)
Lineage: Eukaryota; Metazoa; Chordata; Mammalia; Artiodactyla; Bovidae
Source: Ensembl